RNAcentral lists this ribosomal RNA (253 nucleotides) under uncultured bacterium. RNAcentral describes it as "partial 16S ribosomal RNA". It matches the Rfam family "Bacterial small subunit ribosomal RNA", at positions 524 to 776 of the family's 1533-position model. The record is from RNAcentral.
UACGUAGGGGGCAAGCGUUGUCCGGAAUCAUUGGGCGUAAAGCGCGCGUAGGCGGCUUCGUAAGUCCGUUGUGAAAGUCAAAGGCUCAACCUUUGAAAGCCGAUGGAUACUGCGGAGCUAGAGUACGGAAGAGGCGAGUGGAAUUCCUGGUGUAGCGGUGGAAUGCGCAGAUAUCAGGAGGAACACCAAUAGCGAAGGCAGCUCGCUGGGACGUUACUGACACUGAGGCGCGAAAGCGUGGGGAGCAAACAGG